AAACCAACCGGGAUUGCCUUAGUAACGGCGAGUGAAGCGGCAAAAGCUCAAAUUUGAAAUCUGGUACCUUCGGUGCCCGAGUUGUAAUUUGGAGAGGGCAACUUUGGGGCCGUUCCUUGUCUAUGUUCCUUGGAACAGGACGUCAUAGAGGGUGAGAAUCCCGUGUGGCGAGGAGUGCGGUUCUUUGUAAAGUGCCUUCGAAGAGUCGAGUUGUUUGGGAAUGCAGCUCUAAGUGGGUGGUAAAUUCCAUCUAAAGCUAAAUAUUGGCGAGAGACCGAUAGCGAACAAGUACAGUGAUGGAAAGAUGAAAAGAACUUUGAAAAGAGAGUGAAAAAGUACGUGAAAUUGUUGAAAGGGAAGGGCAUUUGAUCAGACAUGGUGUUUUGUGCCCUCUGCUCCUUGUGGGUAGGGGAAUCUCGCAUUUCACUGGGCCAGCAUCAGUUUUGGUGGCAGGAUAAAUCCAUAGGAAUGUAGCUUGCCUCGGUAAGUAUUAUAGCCUGUGGGAAUACUGCCAGCUGGGACUGAGGACUGCGACGUAAGUCAAGGAUGCUGGCAUAAUGGUUAUAUGCCGCCCGUCUUGAAACACGGACCAA
This 593-nucleotide ribosomal RNA is filed under the name Saccharomyces cerevisiae (brewer's yeast). RNAcentral's name for it is "eukaryotic LSU rRNA". It matches the Rfam family "Eukaryotic large subunit ribosomal RNA", at positions 62 to 669 of the family's 3401-position model. Lineage: Eukaryota; Fungi; Ascomycota; Saccharomycetes; Saccharomycetales; Saccharomycetaceae. The record is from RNAcentral.